Molecule: ribosomal RNA, 163 nt
Filed under: Eustachys paspaloides
Lineage: Eukaryota; Viridiplantae; Streptophyta; Magnoliopsida; Poales; Poaceae
Description: 5.8S ribosomal RNA
Rfam family: 5.8S ribosomal RNA
About the family: 5.8S ribosomal RNA (5.8S rRNA) is a component of the large subunit of the eukaryotic ribosome. It is transcribed by RNA polymerase I as part of the 45S precursor that also contains 18S and 28S rRNA. Functionally, it is thought that 5.8S rRNA may be involved in ribosome translocation.
Source: RNAcentral
CACAUGACUCUCGGCAACGGAUAUCUCGGCUCUUGCAUCGAUGAAGAACGUAGCAAAAUGCGAUACCUGGUGUGAAUUGCAGAAUCCCGUGAACCAUCGAGUUUUUGAACGCAAGUUGCGCCCGAGGCCUUUUGGUCGAGGGCACGUCUGCCUGGGCGUCACG